CAGUCUACUUGUUUAUCAGGAUCUAAGAUCAUUCAUGGAUUUUUCUACUAAGUUUGCUGUGUUCUUUCUCAUUAUUCCCACCCUCUUUGGUUGGGAAAACAUAGAGGGCAACAAACUUUAUGUUGGAGAAUUUGACCGAAAACUGAAAGCUACAAAAGAGGAGAAAAUACAACUAGACUUUUGCAAGCAUGUUGCUCACUGUAAAACUGGCAGACCUUGCUAUUGCUGUUUAAUCUUGGGCAGAACUGAUUGCUAUUAUACAAUGCAACUUUGUGAGCAAGGAUGUCCCAAAUUUCCCCCUCCAACUCCCAAACAUCAAAUCAAAAUUUCCCCAUGAUCUCAUGGCAUAUAUACAGGAGUCGAUAACGUUAUAGCAAAAAUAAUAUUUUGUUAAACAUAUAUAGGAGUAAGUUUUAAACUAAAAGGAAAAAAUUCAGAUCCUUGUAUGUGAGCUUCUGUCUCAGUAGUAAAUCUAUCCUUUUAUCAUUUGA
Nicotiana tabacum (common tobacco) is the source of this 491-nucleotide long non-coding RNA. RefSeq lists it as uncharacterized. Lineage: Eukaryota; Viridiplantae; Streptophyta; Magnoliopsida; Solanales; Solanaceae. The record is from RefSeq and is a predicted model, not a curated record.